Solanum stenotomum is the source of this 2789-nucleotide long non-coding RNA. RefSeq lists it as uncharacterized. NCBI's taxonomy places the organism in Eukaryota, Viridiplantae, Streptophyta, Magnoliopsida, Solanales, Solanaceae. The transcript is spliced from 3 exons. The record is from RefSeq and is a predicted model, not a curated record.
AUGUGGUCCCUAAGAAGAGUCUCUACUUGAGAGGGAUUACCGACCUUUGAUUUUGCUCGAUUUCAUCUUGGGAGCCAUAUUUUACUUCUUAAGUUCUCUAGGCUUUAUACAUUUUUCAUUUUAUUUUGACGUUUCUGGAUAAGAUUUAUUCAUAUUGAAUUUUCCUCUUCAUGUUUUAUUGGUAGACUUUAUACUUGCAUUUUGAACGUGUGUUCAAAUGCUUUUAUGAGAUCUGAAUCUGAAGGAAGAACUUUACACAACCAAGGUGUUUGAUGAAAUCUCCCCUUAACAACCUACUCAUGAGAUAUGAGUAUUCAGAAUCUUUUCGUUGGGCAGUUUUUUCAAUUGCUUUUUUCCCUUCUCAGUGUGUAAUCUUGAGCUUAACGUUGUCUAAUACUCAUAUUUUUAGAAUGUAAUUGAGGAUUCUCAGAAUUACUCUUGGGAUUUUCUUGCUAAUUUGGAGAAUAACAACAGAUAUGUCUAUUAUGUCUGCUUCUCUUCUUCCCCCACUUUGGACUAAAGACAUAUUAUUAAAAUCCUUAUUUAGUCAAAGCAGUUAUAAUGAUACUAAAUAAUAAUAAUAAUAAAAUGACAAAUUAAAUAAGGUAAGUAAUAGUUGGACUUUGCUUAAAGGCCGUAAGUUCCUACUAAGUAAUAGGAUGUUGUAUGUGAACUUUUCCCCUCUGCUUCCAAUAUCUGCUGUCUUUUUUACUGUCUAAAAUUUUAAACAGCUAAAGCUUCAUUUUUUUGGUUAACUAAUUGUAUAUGGUCUUUCCUCGUUGUUCCAAAAUAAUCAUUGGAAGUGUAUUUUUGUACAUGUUUUGCUCUUUAUUUUACUUUUACUAUCUUUCUUUUUGCAAUUUUGGAGUUGCCAAUUGAUAGGUAUGAUUUAAAAUUUGGGAAGUGAAAUGCUAUUACACUGCCGUAUUAUUCUGAAGAGCUAUUACAUUACGACAUUAUUCAUGAACUUACAAAUAAUUUCUCUUAUGUUUAUUUUCUUCUGGUGUUUGAUUGUCUUGUGAUUUUGUGAUGACCGCUUUAUGAUCCAGGUUCAGAUAUUAGCUAUUAGAAAAUCAGAAAGCCAGGUCUUCUAAAGUAAGAAAAGAAACAUUUUAUACAAAAAUAAUAAAGAAGGUUGUUUGUAUGGUGAGACAUGGUCUUUCUGAAAAUCUUGAUCUUUUAGCCCAGUUGGUACAACAAUGUCACAAGAAAGAGUGCUCUAGAUGCGAGACUCUUCCUCAAUUUUCAUACAAGGUUAGUAUGAUGUAUGCUAAAAUUGUCUGUUUUUAUAUAGAUAUACAAGUGAACACCAUAAGGUUUUUAUCUUUAAAAAAAUUAUGUUUUACAUGUGUGUGUGUACACCUUUCAUAGAAGGGUCAGCACUAUCGAAAAAAUCAUAAGCAAAAUGUAUAUGUCGAGCUGCAAAGUUUGAAUAAAGAUUAUGCUUAGACAAGAUAGCCUAUUUGAGAAAGAAGAGGAGAGAAACAUAAGAAGCUUUGAAGGUAGUAAAACUUCAGAUAGAUCUUUCCUCUACCUUCUGGUACUUUAAUGCAAGUAAUAGAAGAACCUGAGUUGUAUGGGUAUAUUUAUCUUUCACUAAAAACAUUUCACAAGUUUGAAAUGGUACAUCUGCUAUGAUAAUUAAUGGGUACCAAAUGGUGAUGGCCAAGAACCAUGGUAUGUUUUUUGUUGUUUUGCAUCUUGCUCACUAUUUUAGUUGAACAUAGCAAUGGUUAACUGGUAUAUGUGAAGAGCGGGGAGAAAAUCUAAUAAGAGUAAUCAAAUUCUAUGAGUAUUAUAGCCUAUAUCUAUAAUAUUUGAUUCGUACAUGGACGAUUGGUUAUUGUUAUCUACAAAAAAAAAUUGACACUUUUAGUUUACUUGAUCACUUCAUAACAAACCAAACAGUUGAGAUGCUGACACAAUUUCUACUAAUUUCUGAUAUUUCAUUCGUUUGAAGUUGUCAACUAUUUCAUUUAUCUGAAGUUAUCUACAAAUUUGCACAUUCUCUCUGUCAAUUUUUUUCCUUGAGUAAGACAGAUGCAUCUUUUGUUUUAAAGCUCCCUAAUUUCAUUUUUGCUGCCCUCUAACAGCUGAUUGGCUUUUACUAGCUUUUUGAAGAUGCAUACGACAAUGCCUUCACGAAACUUCUUGAUGUAGCAUAUGCUAGAGCUCGAUAAGAAUUUUUCAAUGCGUGUCUCAGACAAGACACUCAAGUUCUUCCAGCUGAAUCCAAGCUCCUUUAAUUUGCUGGGACACACUUGAUAGCCAUUUGGGUGAGAACAUUGCUAUUGCCUGCUAUGGCACCCCACCAGUCUGAUCCCACGUGUUUGCAGGUUGAGAGCCACAACACUCUGGCAUAUUUGGCAGAAAACGUUGGCCAUUAUAAGCACGGAAAUUGUUCUGAUACUUCUGAGAUUCUAAUUGUUCUGAAUUAGGGAGAAUUUGUGGGAUACUACUAUGAAUUAGAUGUGUCCAGUUUUGGGAAUUCAACUUGUACCUGGUAGAGGACAAGAAAAUAUGACAUGCUAGUAAAGUUCAUUGCCGUGUUUGAGGAGCUGGUUACGAUUUGGUGCAAUAAUCUGCAGGUAACUUGAUUUCGUAGUUUUUUUCUGAACCGCUUUGUUCAUGGUACUGUAAUUCUUCAGCAACAUUAGCAUGGGCACUCAAAGUUAUCAAUUUUGCCGUGCAUGCUUUGUGUAAAUAGAUGGACCUUGUCUAUGAUUGAAAGUGAAAUUUCAUUACUUUCUACUGAAGCUAAAUUGUUACUGUUGUAUGUGAGUCUUCGA